AUGUCCCGCGCCUUUCUUCGCCGGCUCCGGCGCCGGCGGCUGCUCCUCCGUCCCUCGCUCCACACCGUCUUUCUCCGCCUCCACGGCGCCCUGGCAAGUCGUGCCGACCAGUAUCCAGUAGCCCCAGCCCCCCGCACUGCCGAUGACCAGGCACGCGCGGUGCUCGACGAACGGCCGCACCGGGACGCCGUCGCCUACGCCGCCACUGUCGACCUCCACCUGAGGUCCCGCGACCUCCCCCGUGCGGAGGCGCUCUUCCGCGCGGCGCCCGCGUCCGCCCGCGGCCCCCAUCUGGAUGCAGUGAUGCUGGACGGGCACCUCAAGGCCGGCCGCGUCGACCGCGCCCGCAGCCUGUUCGACGGAAUGGCGGUCAAGAGCGUGGCGGCGUGGACCUGCCUGGUCUCCGGGUACUGCCGCGCGGGGCGCGUCGAAGAGGCGCGCGCGCUGUUCGACGCGAUGCCGGCCCGCAACGUCGUCUCCUGGACGGCGAUGGUGCAGGGGUACGCGCGCAGCGGCAUGCUGAGGGAGGCGAGGGAGCUGUUCGACCAGAUGCCGGAGAGGAACGUGGUCACCUGGACGGUCAUGGUGAAGGCCUACGCCGACCACGGCCACCUCCAGGAGGCCGCGGAGCUGUUCGACAGGAUGCCCCAGAGGAACUCGUAUUCUUGGAGCGCCAUGAUCUCCGGUUUCCUCCGUGCUGGGAAAGUGGACGAGGCGGUUCGGCUGUUCGAGAGGAUGCCGGAUAGGAACGUGGUUUCCUGGACCACGAUGGUCACUGGCUUGGCGCAGAACGGUCGUGUUUCGAUGGCGAGAGAGUUCUUCGACAGAAUGCCGAGAAACAAGGACAUUGCGGCGUGGAAUGCGAUGGUCACUGCUUAUGCCAAUGAUGGCCAGAUGAACGAGGCUCAGAGACUGUUUGAUUCGAUGCCCGCAAAGAACCUGGUGAGCUGGAAUGCCCUGAUCCAUGGCUAUGCCAAGGACGAGCGUAAGGAUGAAAUCAUUGGUUUAUUUCUUCUCAUGCUCCGGUCAGCGGUAUCUCCUGACAUCACCACAUUGAUCAGUGUCUUGGUUACAUCCAACAGCACAUCUGAAGUUGGGCAAAUCCAUGGCCUCGCUACCACACGAGGUCUCCUGUCAGACACCUCCUUAGGAAACGCUCUGCUCACCAUGUACUCAAGGAGUGGCGACCUGCGCUCUGCCUGGCAAGCUUUCAAGAUGCUACAAGAGAAAGAUGCCAUCACAUGGACAUCGAUGAUGCAAGCCUUCGCAAACCAUGGCCAUGCCUCGUACGCGCUGCAGGCCUUUGGUCAGAUGCUGCAGCAUGGAUAUAAGCCCAGCUCGACCACGUUCACCGCUGUGCUGUCAGCCUGCAGCCAUGCCGGUCUUGUCGACAAAGGCUGGGCAAUCUUCGCAUCAAUUCGCCGAGCCUAUGGGCUUGAGCCGACUAUCGAGCACCACACCUGCCUCGUUGACAUCCUCGGCCGUGCAGGGCAUGUGAGGGAAGCAAUGGAGGUCAUCGCUGCCAUGCCAUUGGAUAUGCAUGACGACGCUGUCGCGAGGACGCUGCUGGGAGCCUGCAUGAUGCAUAAUAAGGUAGAUGCAGCCAGGGAAGUGGGGGAGGCUCUUGCCAAGUCUGACGGCUCCUUUGGUUCAGAUUCAGAGGGCUACUACAAGGUUCUGGCCAAUGUGUUUGCGUCAGGUGGGAUGUGGGAGGAGAUGGCAGGUGUGUGGAAGGCUAUGAAGGGGAGCAAGGUGAGGAAGAUGCCUGGGGUUAGCCUGAUCGUGGUGGAUGCGAGGUCCCACUCGUUUUUCUCCAGGGAUCAGGGGCAUCCGCAGUGUGCAGAGAUAUAUGAGAUGCUGGACGACACGCUUGUCCCCCAGAUGAUGAAUAAGGAUCGACCGACUGAAACAGUGUGA
This 1917-nucleotide ribosomal RNA is filed under the name Triticum aestivum (bread wheat). RNAcentral's name for it is "partial small subunit ribosomal RNA". Lineage: Eukaryota; Viridiplantae; Streptophyta; Magnoliopsida; Poales; Poaceae. The record is from RNAcentral.